CAGGGUCUCCUCUGACACACUGACCCACCUGUACACAUUCAACACCACAUUCACUGAGCCCCUCUAUCCAGAGUUUGGGGUUCAUGAGGACUCCUUAGUGUCUUUGUGUCAGAUGGUCCCUUUGUCAAACACAACAUGAUGUUUCACUCUAAUCAUGGUCAUGUUCAAUAGGACACCGUAGUAAAACACUGAGAAAAAAUGAGUGAAACCCGAUAAGAACACCUCCUCACAUACCCCAUUGGUCAGCGACGUAUCAGCUGAUGUCGGGGAUCUGUCCAAUCACAAUCUCAGAUUUCAUACUUACUAUUUAUUCAUCAGGUUACUCCCUCAGUCAGAAUUACAGUGUCCCAGAUUUGACAGAAUAAAAGUGGUUUAAAACAGCAAUGAUAAAAUAACUUUGUGUGUGUGUGGAUAGGGUACUGUAAGUAGUUUUCUAAACACAGACCACUCGCAGUUGAAAUCUUGCAUUGCUUCAGUGUCCCAGCACUGGAUACACCCUUGCCUAUCUGAAAGAUCCAUCGACGAUGAUUGGACAGGCUACAAUCUAGACAUGUCCACUUCACCAGGACCACCCUCAGAUUGUGUGCAUACAUUUACAGAGACCUGGUUUAAUACAUAAUCACAACAAGGAUUACUGGUGACUUAUAAUCAUUAAUUAAAAGCCAUUUGUUGUUGUUAGGAGAGCUCACGUCCUGCCUCUGGUCCAGUCAUCCCCUGCAUCACUUGUCAGAAGGAAGUUCCCUUUUCAGAGAUGAAGCUGCACAGAUUGAGCUGCAAUGGAAUGGAAGCUUAUUAAAGAACCCACUCAAGCUGCCAAAGUUUCAAAAGAGAAUCUGCUAAGGGAAUAUGCAACUAGGAAACCACUUAGAAUGAAGAUGGAUGUAAGGGACUCUGAAGAGGAGAGGGAACGGCAACUUCUCUUAUUCUAUAAACAGCAGCAAGAAUGGGCAUGUCCACUUCAUUGUACUCUGGUUGUCACCAAAACAAAUAGGACAUGGCUACAUAACAAACUUCUACUUCAUGCAGUCAUUGGGAGGAUCAUGCGCCAAAUUAAACAGUUGAGAAAGGGACUGAAAGAUGUGAUGGUGUGGCCCCUGCUGACAUCUAGGCCCGAUGUUGUCCCACUUCUCCCCAGAAUGGCUGAAAUGCAGUUCACACCCCAGAUGCUCCUAGAAAAAAAUCACAUGGCCAGUUGAGGACAGUGAUGAUGAAGACUUUGACUUAGACUCCACCUGCCACAUCACUGGCUUUCUAAGGAUGUUCAUUGAAACAGCUUCAUCAGGUACCCUGGCCAAGCUGCUGACAUUCUGGGUUGGCUGGGAGAUGCUUCCUCCUGAACUGAGAGUGGAGAUUUCUGGGGGAACCCUUCCUACAUUCUCCACAUGCUUUGAAACACUGAAGCUGCCAGCUCAUUUAAAAAUCUAUAUGGACUUUGAGAAAGCACUUGUCGCAGCCAUAAAAUGUAUUGGAUUUGGGCUUGUUUAAGCUUUUUCAGACAGAUGUCAAUGCAUAUACUGUUAAGAGGAAUUGACACAAGUUCAGUGUCUUUGAAAACAUUAACACACUGUGCAGUAGUUGACAAUUUUUUUAUUCUACAUAUUUUUUCCAUUUACUGAAAUCCAACAGUUCUGCACCUUCAGUGCUAACAGUACAGCAUUCAUGUUAGUCAUUCUGUGGACCAUAAUGAGACAGGAAGCUUCAGAAGCUUUUUUCUUCUUUUUUUUUUAAGGAAAGUAAACUUUUUCAGUUUGUCCUUGCUUGUUCUAACACAACAAAUAAAAAACAUGGGUUGGA
Molecule: long non-coding RNA, 1794 nt
Organism: Esox lucius (northern pike)
Lineage: Eukaryota; Metazoa; Chordata; Actinopteri; Esociformes; Esocidae
Exons: 6
Source: RefSeq, a predicted model, not a curated record